Molecule: non-coding RNA, 201 nt
Organism: Pelobates cultripes (western spadefoot toad)
Lineage: Eukaryota; Metazoa; Chordata; Amphibia; Anura; Pelobatidae
Source: the annotation of a GenBank genome assembly
GGCCCACCUAGGUGAUAUGAGAAUAAAUAGAGGGUGCGGUGGGAGGGUCACUUCCGAGAUCGUUGAUGACAGGUAAGCAGGGGCUCACUGGGUUUAAGUAGGGUUCCAUGUACCUCCCACAAUUACAGGCCAAGCCUUCUAUUUGUGUAUGGCACAUUUCGAGGACGUAAGGAUCAAUAAUAAAGAAGCAAUAGUAGUAAG